GCACAAGCGGAGGAGCAUGUGGUUAAUUCGAUGAUACGCGAGGAACCUUACCUGGGCUCGAACGUAAGAUGACUGUAGGUGAAAGCUUACAUCUCUUCGGAGCAUUUUACGAGGUGCUGCAUGGUUGUCGUCAGCUCGUGCCGUGAGGUGUCGGGUUAAGUCCCAUAACGAGCGCAACCCUACCUUUAGUUGCCAUCAGGUAAUGCUGGGGACUCUAAAGGAACUGCCUACGCAAGUAGUGAGGAAGGCGGGGAUGACGUCAAAUCAGCACGGCCCUUACGUCCAGGGCUACACACGUGCUACAAUGGCCGAUACAGAGGGCAGCUACCUGGUGACAGGAUGCAAAUCUCCAAAGUCGGUCUCAGUUCGGAUCGGAGUCUGCAACCCGACUCCGUGAAGUUGGAUUCGCUAGUAAUCGCGCAUCAGCCAUGGCGCGGUGAAUACGUUCCCGGGCCUU
Molecule: ribosomal RNA, 457 nt
Filed under: uncultured Sphingobacteriales bacterium
Lineage: Bacteria; Pseudomonadati; Bacteroidota; Sphingobacteriia; Sphingobacteriales
Description: bacterial SSU rRNA
Rfam family: Bacterial small subunit ribosomal RNA
Source: RNAcentral